Molecule: long non-coding RNA, 494 nt
Organism: Hemicordylus capensis (graceful crag lizard)
Lineage: Eukaryota; Metazoa; Chordata; Lepidosauria; Squamata; Cordylidae
Exons: 3
Source: RefSeq, a predicted model, not a curated record
AAGAUCAUCAGAUUCCGAUUCCCAGAGAGGCUUUCAGCUCUCAGAGUAUCCGUCAAGCGAAGGCACUUCGAAUGAAAUUUGCAGCAUUAGGGAAGCAGCCCCUCCAAUCUCUACUCUGAGUUUUCUUCUGUUGGCUCUUAAAAGAGCCUUUGGGUCUCUCUAGAAGUGUUAAAGCAAAAGAGGCAAAUUACUUGGAGCUGGCAUACUUGGUAACAGCCUUAGUGCCUUCAGACACAGCGUGCUUGGCCAACUCUCCCGGCAGGCCGUCUCUGGAUCUCCCUGGAAGUGAUAAGAAUACAAGAAAAUAAGAAGUUUGCUCAGUCAACAGAGAGGCACAGCCAUGAACACGCAUAGGAUGUGGAGGACGCGUGCAAAACAACAACACUCCGCAAGUGGAGCAGCAAGGCUUGGCAUGUUUCCCCCUCCUAGCACCCACACAGAGAAUGGCAGCACGCAUGUUUCUGGACAUUUCUUCUCCGCAACCUGUCUGACUC